ACGGCAGCGGGAAAGUAGCUUGCUACUUUUGCCGGCGAGUGGCGAACGGGUGAGUAAUGUAUCGGAACGUGCCCAGUAGCGGGGGAUAACUACGCGAAAGCGUGGCUAAUACCGCAUACGCCCUACGGGGGAAAGGGGGGGAUCUUAGGACCUCUCACUAUUGGAGCGGCCGAUAUCGGAUUAGCUAGUUGGUGGGGUAAAGGCCUACCAAGGCGACGAUCCGUAGCUGGUUUGAGAGGACGACCAGCCACACUGGGACUGAGACACGGCCCAGACUCCUACGGGAGGCAGCAGUGGGGAAUUUUGGACAAUGGGGGAAACCCUGAUCCAGCCAUCCCGCGUGUGCGAUGAAGGCCUUCGGGUUGUAAAGCACUUUUGUCAGGGAAGAAAAGGUUUCGGAUAAUACCCGGAACUGAUGACGGUACCUGAAGAAUAAGCACCGGCUAACUACGUGCCAGCAGCCGCGGUAAUACGUAGGGUGCAAGCGUUAAUCGGAAUUACUGGGCGUAAAGCGUGCGCAGGCGGUUCGGAAAGAAAGAUGUGAAAUCCCAGGGCUCAACCUUGGAACUGCAUUUUUAACUACCGAACUAGAGUAUGUCAGAGGGGGGGUGGAAUUCCACGUGUAGCAGUGAAAUGCGUAGAUAUGUGGAGGAACACCGAUGGCGAAAGCAGCCCCCUGGGAUAAAUACUGACGCUCAUGCACGAAAGCGUGGGGGAGCAAACAGGAUUAGAUACCCUGGUAGUCCACGCCCUAAACGAUGUCAACUAGCUGUUGGGCCCUUCGGGGCUUAGUAGCGCAGCUAACGCGUGAAGUUGACCGCCUGGGGAGUACGGUCGCAAGAUUAAAACUCAAAGGAAUUGACGGGGACCCGCACAAGCGGUGGAUGAUGUGGAUUAAUUCGAUGCAACGCGAAAAACCUUACCUACCCUUGACAUGUCUGGAAUCCUGAAGAGAUUUAGGAGUGCUCGCAAGAGAACCGGAACACAGGUGCUGCAUGGCUGUCGUCAGCUCGUGUCGUGAGAUGUUGGGUUAAGUCCCGCAACGAGCGCAACCCUUGUCAUUAGUUGCUACAUUUAGUUGAGCACUCUAAUGAGACUGCCGGUGACAAACCGGAGGAAGGUGGGGAUGACGUCAAGUCCUCAUGGCCCUUAUGGGUAGGGCUUCACACGUCAUACAAUGGUCGGGACAGAGGGUUGCCAAACCGCAAGGUGGAGCUAAUCUCAUAAACCCGAUCGUAGUCCGGAUUGCAGGCUGCAACUCGCCUGCAUGAAGUCGGAAUCGCUAGUAAUCGCGGAUCAGCAUGUCGCGGUGAAUACGUUCCCGGGUCUUGUACACACCGCCCGUCACACCAUGGGAGUGGGUUUUACCAGAAGUAGUUAGCCUAACCGCAAGGGGGGCGAUUACCACGGUAGGAUUCAUGAC
Molecule: ribosomal RNA, 1423 nt
Filed under: Advenella sp. PB-12
Lineage: Bacteria; Pseudomonadati; Pseudomonadota; Betaproteobacteria; Burkholderiales; Alcaligenaceae
Description: Tetrathiobacter sp. PB-12 16S ribosomal RNA
Rfam family: Bacterial small subunit ribosomal RNA
Source: RNAcentral